AACGCGAAGAACCUUACCUGGGUUUGACAUGCCAGGAUUAUCUCUAUGAAGUAGAGUAGGCCCUUCGGGUACAACUGGUACAGGUGCUGCAUGGCUGUCGUCAGCUCGUGUCGUGAGAUGUCGGGUUAAGUCCCUUAACGAGCGAAACCUUUGCCCUUAGUUACCAGCGGGUUAUGCCGGGGACUCUAAGGGGACUGCCGGUGUCAAACCGGAGGAAGGUGGAGAUGACGUCAAGUCCUCAUGGCCUUUAUGCCCAGGGCCACACACGUGCUACAAUGGCAUGCACAAAGCGAACCAAGAGCGCGAGCUGGAGGAAAUCGCAGAAAUCAUGCCCCAGUUCAGAUUGGAGGCUGCAACUCGCCUCCAUGAAGAUGGAAUCGCUAGUAAUCGCGGAUCAGCUACGCCGCGGUGAAUGUGUUCCCGGGCUUGUACACACCGUGUCGA
RNAcentral lists this ribosomal RNA (444 nucleotides) under uncultured bacterium. Its description in RNAcentral is "bacterial SSU rRNA". It matches the Rfam family "Bacterial small subunit ribosomal RNA", at positions 958 to 1400 of the family's 1533-position model. The record is from RNAcentral.